UGAUCCAGCCAUGCCGCGUGAGUGACGACGGUCUUCGGACUGUAAAGCUCGUUUCUUGGGGGAAGAACGGCCGAAGGAGGCAUGCCUUCGGUGUGACGGUACCCGAGGAAUAAGCCACGGCUAACUCCGGUGCCAGCAGCCGCGGUAAUACGGAGGUGGCAAGCGUUGUUCGGAAUGACUGGGCGUAAAGGGAGCGCAGGCGGCCUGUUAAGUCCGGCGUGAAAGCCCGAGGCUCAACCCCGGCGGGUCGCCGGAUACUGGCGGGCUCGAGUACGGAAGAGGAGAGUGGAAUUCCAGGUGUAGCGGUGAAAUGCGUAGAUAUCUGGAGGAACACCGGUGGCGAAAGCGGCUCUCUGGUCCGAUACUGACGCUCAGGCUCGAAAGCGUGGGGAGCAAACGGGAUUAGAUACCCCGGUAGUCCACGCCGUAAACGUUGUGCGCUAGGUGUAGGCGGUAUCGACCCCGUCUGUGCCGGAGCUAACGCAUUAAGCGCACCGCCUGGGGAGUACGCCCGCAAGGGUG
This 522-nucleotide ribosomal RNA is filed under the name uncultured bacterium. RNAcentral's name for it is "bacterial SSU rRNA". It matches the Rfam family "Bacterial small subunit ribosomal RNA", at positions 384 to 896 of the family's 1533-position model. The record is from RNAcentral.